RNAcentral lists this transfer RNA (64 nucleotides) under Megabeleses sp. RNAcentral describes it as "tRNA-Thr". Lineage: Eukaryota; Metazoa; Arthropoda; Insecta; Hymenoptera; Tenthredinidae. The record is from RNAcentral.
GUUUUAAUAGUUUAUAAAAAAUAUUGAUUUUGUAAAUCAAAGAAAAAUAAAUAUUUUUAAAACU